CGGGUGAGUAACGCGUGGGAAUAUGCCCUUUGGUACGGAACAGUCCCGGGAAACUGGGUUUAAUACCGUAUGUGGUCCUUCGUAGUGGAUACGGGGGACGAAAGAUUUAUCGCCAAAGGAUUAGCCCGCGUUGGAUUAGGUAGUUGGUGGGGUAACGGCCUACCAAGCCGACGAUCCAUAGCUGGUUUGAGAGGAUGAUCAGCCACACUGGGACUGAGACACGGCCCAGACUCCUACGGGAGGCAGCAGUGGGGAAUCUUAGACAAUGGGGGCAACCCUGAUCUAGCCAUGCCGCGUGAGUGAUGAAGGCCUUAGGGUUGUAAAGCUCUUUCAGCUGGGAAGAUAAUGACGGUACCAGCAGAAGAAGCCCCGGCUAACUCCGUGCCAGCAGCCGCGGUAAUACGGAGGGGGCUAGCGUUGUUCGGAAUUACUGGGCGUAAAGCGCAUGUAGGCGGACCAGAAAGUUGGGGGUGAAAUCCCGGGGCUCAACCCCGGAACGGCCUUCAAAACUAUUGGUCUGGAGUUCGAGAGAGGUGAGUGGAAUUCCGAGUGUAGAGGUGAAAUUCGUAGAUAUUCGGAGGAACACCAGUGGCGAAGGC
RNAcentral lists this ribosomal RNA (599 nucleotides) under Paracoccus oceanense. RNAcentral describes it as "bacterial SSU rRNA". It matches the Rfam family "Bacterial small subunit ribosomal RNA", at positions 103 to 722 of the family's 1533-position model. The record is from RNAcentral. Lineage: Bacteria; Pseudomonadati; Pseudomonadota; Alphaproteobacteria; Rhodobacterales; Paracoccaceae.